Molecule: long non-coding RNA, 370 nt
Organism: Pocillopora damicornis (cauliflower coral)
Lineage: Eukaryota; Metazoa; Cnidaria; Anthozoa; Scleractinia; Pocilloporidae
Source: RefSeq, a predicted model, not a curated record
GGCGAUGUUUCAGUCGUCUUGGUGAAGCAUCUUCAGCGGUAAGUUCCUCGUCACAGAAGUCAAACUAGCCAAGAAGCCUGUGUGAGAAUCCUGUCAAAGCAGAAUACAAACGGUCAACAUGGACAAAAAACUGAUUUGUGUUCUUUUUCUGAUGGUGCUUGCUGUUGCAAAGAUGGACGCUGGAAACCCUCCGCAAAAUGCGGGUAUGAGACGGGUUGGGAAAAGAAACUCUAGGUUUCAGCUCAUCAAAGUGAAGAGACAGUUAUGCGCACGCGCCAGGGCUGCCUGUGACGCGGUGAACGAUGACCGAGACAUCCUGGCCGACUUUGAAACUGAAGAAAUGUGAAGAGGAGACAGAGAGAAAGAAAGA